AUGCAAUAUCUUCACAGACACUGGGUACAGGCGAAUCAAAGGACNGUCGGAAGAGCCACUAAACCAGCACAACACACGGGAGGAACUUCCAGUGGUGACUCCCCGUUCAUCCACCGGCCACUGCACACGUCAGACCGCGCUGCAGAAACCGUAAUUUGCUUUUGUUCCCUUCUGAAGGGGGAGGACUUCCGGUUCCCAGGCCUGAUCUNCUCAGCUGGCUUGAAGAAGAAGGAAACGAGAGAGUUCAAUGCAAGUUGGUGUCCUGAGGAAGGUGAAAGUUCAGCAGGCCCAGCAGUUAACAAACUGGCUGGACAGAGGGCAAUCCAAACAAGAGACUUGCUUUUUUCUGGAAGUGUGAAGGAAAAGAAUGAGUCCGCNGGGUGUGUCACAAUAUUUACAUUUAAAGGAGAAGAGCAUCAAGAAAUUCAAACAACCUAGGGUACAGGAGGGGUUUCAUGGGCAGUUCAAAUCUCACAGAAGAAUAUCAGAAGUUCCACAAAGGAGAAAAACCAUGCAAAUACAUGGAAUGUGGAAGGAGAUUCAGCAGUACCUCACACCUUAGUCAACAUUAGAGAAUCCAUACAUGAGGGAAACCAUAUAAAUGCAUGAAUUGUNGGAAAAGAUCCAGCAGUGAACAUCAGAGGAUCCAUACCAAACAGAAACCAUACAAAAGCAUGGAAAGUGGAAAGUGCUUCACUCGGAGUUCCCAUCUUAAUUGGCAUCAGAGGAUCCAUACAAGGGAGAAACCAUAUAAAGGAAAAGAGUAUGGGGAAAGGUUCCUCAUUAUCUCAAACAUCAUUCAACAUCANAUUAAUCAUAUAAGAGGAAAACCUUAUAAAUUCAUGGAGUUUAGAAAAUGCUUCUGGAAAACACCAGCACCCAAGAUUUGCUGAGCGAGAAACCCUAUAAAUUUACAAAGUGUGGGAAGAACUUCAGUUGCUGUUCAUAUCUCAGGAUUCACACUGGUGGAAAAACCCUAUAAAUGCAUGGAGUGUAGAAAGAGUUUCUGAUGGAAUUCACAGCAGAAUUGACGUUAUAGGAUUCGUACUGCAGAAAA
RNAcentral lists this long non-coding RNA (1057 nucleotides) under Salvator merianae (Argentine black and white tegu). RNAcentral's name for it is "lncRNA (ENSSMRG00000010465.1)". Lineage: Eukaryota; Metazoa; Chordata; Lepidosauria; Squamata; Teiidae. The record is from RNAcentral.